Molecule: long non-coding RNA, 302 nt
Filed under: Gadus morhua (Atlantic cod)
Lineage: Eukaryota; Metazoa; Chordata; Actinopteri; Gadiformes; Gadidae
Description: lncRNA (ENSGMOG00000029975.1)
Source: RNAcentral
AAUUACCACAGGAUAAAUCUGGAGUAGAUAAACCACAACUGGAUAAGAGAACGCCCACCACAGUGCCUCCUCAAGAAGAGAAGAAACCUUCAGAACCAGCAGCAAAGCCUGCUCCUACUCCUCCUCCUCUUUCAGUCACGGUGGAUGUUCCUCCAGCUAAAGCCUAUCCCGUGGAGAAGAUAAAGGCUGCCCGGGUGGAGAAGAAAAGUCCCCCACCCGCAAGCAUGGAGAACUCUCCUCCUGAAGGUACCAUCUCUUGGCAUCUAUUCUUCUGUCUGUUGCUCGGCUGAAGCACCUCUUAA